UUGGUCACCGCCAGCAUUCCCUUCAAGUUACCGAUCAACAGAACCUUGGCUAUCUCUCUCCCUCGUGCCUGCAACAUGCCUGGUGUCCCAGUUCAAUGCAAAGGUAAAUUUCUUCAAUCUUUUUCAUUCAUAGUCUGUUUACCAACACGGCUAAUAGCAUGUUUCAAUCAACUUUUUCGUAUAAUUACUCAAAGUAGUCGAGUAGCUUUUCCCUAAAAGUAAUUUUGGUUUUAGAAUCAAUUGUUGAAAGAUUUCAAAACACGCUCUAAGAUGUUUAACUGUUUGCCCUUGCUUAUUUUGCAGCCUCUGGUUCCCCACUUCCUGCUCCAGGUAAUGGCAAAACACAAAAUUUCCAUUUCAAUAUAUAUUUUGGCCUAGAAAUAAAUACACCAUUUUUCUUUUUAAAUAUCUAACCUCUAGAAUGAUUUUGGUGUUUAUUCACAGGACCGGGGUCUCUUGGACUAUCCCCUGCAUCUGCUCCCUCUGGAUUUACCCCAACCCCUAGUCCUCAAGGUAAUUUCACUUUAAUGCAAGCACUUAAAGUUUCUUACUCUUAGUAUACUAACAUUAUAUUUUAAGUGCUAACUAAGAGUUUAUUAGUUUGUUAUUAACAUCAGGCUCUUAAUUUUCUUUGAGCAGCUUCUUCUGAACUUCCCUCACCAACUUCACCUUCAUUGGCACCUCAGUCUGACACAAGUGUUCCUCUAUUGACUCCACCAUCUCCAUCAGUGGAUUCUGAUACCCCAUCUUCAUCUACAGGAAGUGGCCGCUCCAAUCUGACUCCAUCAUCUGCCAUGACAUCUUACAAUGUCCCUCCUUCUGCUCUAUUGAUUGCACUGGGAUUCGCUGUUCUCAAAUACUACUAGGUUGUGUGUUUGUUAUAUCCUGUGAUGUUCUUCCAUUAGGUUGUUAUAUAUUCUUUACAGUGUGGCUAUGGCAGCAUAAUUUUUCUUUUCAUCUAGAUUGUUUUAGCCCCGCAUUCGGGGAGCAUUUAUCAGAUCAAAAAAGCAUUUGUAUUGUAAUGUACAUGAAAGGGAUGUAAAAUAAAGUUCUUAUGAUUAUAUUUUAUUCAGCCUUGAAGUUUCACUAGUUAUGUGAUUUUAUUCAGUACUGAAGAGACUUUAGACUAGAGGGGGAGCAAUGGAACAUAACAAUUUUAUGAUUACUCGCAUUUAAAGGAAAGAUUGUAGGAAAUACAUGUGAAUUUGGAAUCUCAUAUUGAGUAAUAAUAGGCAAGGAUAAUUAUCUCCCCCUACUUUCAGGUUCCCCUAUCUCCUCGCUAAUUAGCACAAUGAUCUGCCCCACAAUUUUAGGUUGACCUUAUUUGUGGCUCACGAGCCAUGGAGUUAGCUAUAUAUAUAAAUCUUGAAAAAUAAUCCAAAGCGAAGGGGGAUAAACAAAUUAAGCACUAGCAAAAGAAAACAUAGAGAUAGCGAGCCAGGCAUACCAAAAUGGCGAGAAAAAAUGUUGCAAUUUUGUUGAUGGUGUGCCUCGUAGUCAGCAGCAUUGUUGAGACGACGCAGGCGCGCCAGUUCACAUCAGAAGAGUGCUACACAUAUUGCUACGAAAGUUGCGUCUUCCUCUCCGCCAUUUGCAAU
This 1598-nucleotide long non-coding RNA is filed under the name Lotus japonicus. RNAcentral describes it as "long non-coding RNA (LJAP_LNC000965)". The record is from RNAcentral. Lineage: Eukaryota; Viridiplantae; Streptophyta; Magnoliopsida; Fabales; Fabaceae.